Daphnia pulicaria is the source of this 1170-nucleotide long non-coding RNA. RefSeq lists it as uncharacterized. NCBI's taxonomy places the organism in Eukaryota, Metazoa, Arthropoda, Branchiopoda, Diplostraca, Daphniidae. The record is from RefSeq and is a predicted model, not a curated record. The transcript has 9 exons.
UGUCGGACUGUCGGGAGCGAUUUACCGGCUUACAAUUAAUGCUGUAUCAAAACAGCAGUGCAAAGCCCCGUGAAAUGUAGAUUGUGGUCGGGGAGAAGAACAGUUUUCCACAGUUAAACUAUAAUAUUUGGAUUGCACAGUCUGGAAUAAAUUGUUGGUGAUGUGGUACUACACAAGCUGCGCUGCUCAUCAGUUUGAACAGUUGAUUGCAGUUUUUCCACUACUGAAUUUGAAAAGGCCCUUUGUCAAGAGAAAAAUCCAAUCUAAGCCGAAAAAUUGAGACAGGCGCCAGCCAAUCCUUUCUGGAAUUUUGCUAUGGACAUUUUUCAAAUGAACCUCAAUGUUAAGAAAGGAGAAGAAUCCCAAAAUAGAGCUUGAAGAACCAUCUACUACCGAUAUACCAAUAACCAACGGAACUUAUUCCAUGCGCUCCAAGACGGCGUUAUUAUGGCGUGCUCUUGGCUUGCAGACUCAUGGCAAUUUACGACGGUUCUGGUGGAGUCAUCAAGAAGGAAAGCAGUGGUAACCCUCACCAAAUCAGAAUCCUUCACCAACCGACAUCAUUUUCAAGUUUGACAUAGAUGGACGGCAUCUGUUUGCGAUAUGACAACACUUAAGAUGAAGAAUUUAGCCCUAACUGUUGAUGUGGAGUUGGUGGUAAUUUGCUGCCAUCCCCUUUCGUGAUGUUUUCAAUGUCAAAACAGGCUGAUGAAUUCUGAGCUUCUUUGUGUCAGUCCAAUGUGCUAUAUGCAGAUGGGUUUGUUGCAGCCAGCCAGUGAUAGGUGCUCUUCUUGCUACCUGUACCAGCUGUAUGUUUCAUAUCGUAAAAAACACUGAACAGAAUGAACUGAACUUUAGAAGAAUGAAGGUUUAUAUGUUCGCGUUGUUGCUGUUCGCUGUGGUACGUUGUGUCAGUCUCUGCUGGUGAUCGAUCUUUCUGCAUCAAAUUCAAUUAGCCGUUCCUUGGUGCUGGACUACUGGUGUCGUGUUACCGAAAUUGCAACAUUAAUUUGUUAAAUUGUUAUCGUGACUGUAGUUUACCGUUAAUAAGUUAAGAAGCAACAAAAACAAAUAUGGGAUGUUUAUGUCAACAAAUAAUAAACAUGUUUUUGGGAUUGGGAAAGUAAAGUGGAGGAUGUUGGAGAGGGGGAGGAUAUUUCAAGUUUGGAU